Molecule: long non-coding RNA, 925 nt
Organism: Bactrocera latifrons
Lineage: Eukaryota; Metazoa; Arthropoda; Insecta; Diptera; Tephritidae
Exons: 2
Source: RefSeq, a predicted model, not a curated record
CUCUUCAGAUGAGUUGCGCGCGUCGAGGUGUUUAAAUAACCGAACAAAUAAACGUGGUUGAAUCUGAUUUUUAAUAACUAAAACUAAGGAAUAUACUCUUGCCGCUCAUAUUUAUUAAUGGAUGAUAACAUAAUUAAUAUUUUUUAUUUUGUGCUAAAGAUGAGCGGCUUCGAAAAUUAAUAAACAUUUGUGCAAUAAAAUAUACACAUAUAUUAUAUAAAAUGUAAAGCAUUCAUAAUUGCGUUAAACACCCAAAAAUAGACUAAAAGAGUACUCAACCAAAAAUGAAAAAAUUUAAGUUAAUCCAAAUUAAAACAAUUUCGUAUACGAAACCAAACUUGUUUAUCUUUAGAAGAUAACGAAUAGCGUCAUACACACAAGGCGUAUACGUUACUUUGCCGCUGAACUUAGUUCACUUCGGUUAUCGCUUACCUUUUAUAUUGCUGACAUACAUACAUAACGUAAAAAAUGUGGAUCACCAGUGAACAACAUUGAUGUAGUGACAUAUUAUUAUUAAACUGCAAUAUUCAUUAUCCUUUGCAUAAGUAUGCAUCCAAUCGGUGAAUAUAUUUAGUUUCUAAAAAUGCUAAUAGUCUGCAGUAUCGUUUACACAUUAUCUGAUUUUUAGUUGAGUUCCUCAUCCGAAUUACAAUGAGCGUAUUGAUGUGUUCUUAAUGAUCAAUUGAGUAUUCCGUUUUAAGCAAUUUUUGUAUUUGAAACCUUAUCCUAUAAUAAUUAUAUACGUUGAAAUAAAAGUCCCUUUAAUUGUGAUGCUGGUAAAAUAUGAACGUCGAAACUCCGAACAACAAUUGAACACUCAUGCUUGUUUUGUUAUUCACCACUUUCGAGUAUAUACAUAUGUACAUACAAACAUAUAUGUAUAUUAAUAGAAAAUGCUUCAUAUUAAUAGGCAAUAAUAAUAUAA